UACAGAGGGUGCGAGCGUUAAUCGGAAUUACUGGGCGUAAAGCGUGCGUAGACGGUUAUGUAAGUCGGGUGUGAAAGCCCCGGGCUCAACCUGGGAAUGGCAUUCGAGACUGCAUAGCUAGGAUGCGGAAGAGGGAAGCGGAAUUUCCGGUGUAGCGGUGAAAUGCGUAGAUAUCGGAAGGAACAUCAGUGGCGAAAGCGGCUUCCUGGACCAACACUGACGCUGAGGAGCGAAAGCCAGGGGAGCAAACGGG
This 253-nucleotide ribosomal RNA is filed under the name uncultured bacterium. Its description in RNAcentral is "partial 16S ribosomal RNA". It matches the Rfam family "Bacterial small subunit ribosomal RNA", at positions 524 to 776 of the family's 1533-position model. The record is from RNAcentral.